UACGUAGGGGGCUAGCGUUGUCCGGAAUCAUUGGGCGUAAAGCGCGUGUAGGCGGUCCGGUAAGUCCGCUGUGAAAGUCGGGGGCUCAACCCUCGGAUGCCGGUGGAUACUGUCGGGCUUGAGUACGGAAGAGGCGAGUGGAAUUCCUGGUGUAGCGGUGAAAUGCGUAGAUAUCAGGAGGAACACCCGUGGCGAAGGCGGCUCUCUGGAUCGGCCCUGACGCUGAGGCGCGAAAGCGUGGGGAGCGAACGGG
This 253-nucleotide ribosomal RNA is filed under the name uncultured bacterium. Its description in RNAcentral is "partial 16S ribosomal RNA". It matches the Rfam family "Bacterial small subunit ribosomal RNA", at positions 524 to 776 of the family's 1533-position model. The record is from RNAcentral.